This 292-nucleotide ribosomal RNA is filed under the name uncultured bacterium. RNAcentral's name for it is "partial 16S ribosomal RNA". It matches the Rfam family "Bacterial small subunit ribosomal RNA", at positions 505 to 796 of the family's 1533-position model. The record is from RNAcentral.
GUGUCAGCAGCCGCGGUAAGACAGAGGUGGCAAGCGUUGUUCGGAUUUACUGGGCGUAAAGAGUGCGUAGGUGGUGAGGUAAGACCUGUGGGAAAGACCUGGGCUUAACCCAGGAAGGUCGCAGGUGACUGCCUCGCUUGAGGACGGGAGAGGAGAGCGGAAUUCCCGGUGUAGCGGUGAAAUGCGUAGAGAUCGGGAAGAAGGCCGGUGGCGAAGGCGGCUCUCUGGAACGUUCCUGACACUGAGGCACGAAAGCGUGGGGAGCAAACAGGAUUAGAUACCCCCGUAGUCC